AUUAAUAUUUAGUACUGAAUCUGUGUUGGCAAUUACAAUGAAAUUAAUAUCAAUCCAUGUUAUCCAAACAAUAUUGUUAAUGACACAGAUGAUAAAUUCAUACGUACUACAUGGAACUUCUGAUAUACCAAAUGCUAGUGAAAUGACAAGACAACAAAAUUUGCUUCCGAUUAAAGUAAAAAAAUCGGUAGUUGUAAAUAAGAAAAAUGACCUCUGGAACUUAGGGAUCAUUCAUUACGAAAUAGAUGAUAUUUUUACUGACUUCCAACGUAGAAUAAUAAAACAAGGUAUACGCAUGUGGGAAGAGUCCAGUUGGAUUCAAUUUAUCGAAAGAAAUCCGGAUGUCCAUCAAGAUUAUGUCGCCUUUACUAAAUUGGAUAUUUAAUAUUUCUGUUGCUCACUUGAUAAAAAAUAAGUGUAAUCAAAAAAAUUGUGUAAUUUGAUUUAAAAAUGCCAGGUGUUAUUACAUUGAAAACGACCAAAAAAACAAAGGCCGAAGUGAAUUGAGUUUAGCUGAUGGAUGUGAAGAAAUACAUAUUAUUCUUCAUGAACUGGGACACGUUUUGGGUUUUUACCAUGAACACCAACAUCCAGACCGCGACCAGUACAUUGAAAUCCUACAUAUGAACAUUCAGCCAGGUUAUCAAAGAGAAUUUGGGCGGUAUUCACGAGCGGAGGUUGAUACUUUAAGAUUUCCCUACGAUUAACAUUCUACGAUGCAUUAUUCAAAGAAUGUCUUUGCAUACUUCAAUUUUUUGAAUACGAUAGUUCUGAAACAAACUGUCAACGGCAAAGUACCAAAUAUUGGCAAUAAAAAAGUUCUCAGUGGCGGAGAUAUUGAAGCUGUUAAUAUUCUAUAUAAUUGUCCAAAUUCCAAUAACAAAUAACUUUAUUGGGGUCUAAUGUGCUUUUGUCGCUGCAAAUCCAUAUACAGAUCUAUACAAAUUUUCAAAGGAUAAAAACGGAAAGUUUAAUGGAAUUUAUAUGUCUCAAGAAUUUCUAUCUGGAUUUUAAUGGAAUUUGUAUGCCUAGAGAAUUUCUAUCUGGAUUUACCAAGAUGUACUAGAGCAAGUGGAUUCUAUUAGAAAAUCCAAUAACAUAGCGUAAUGAUAAAAAAUGUUUUCUGGUGGAGUGUCCAGUUUUAUGAUAACUUUAGUUUAAUAUGUUUUUAUCAGUAAAUUAACUCUAAGAGUAUCUUACGUCUACUUAUAUCAAUCGGACUAUCCCGAGUGAAUUUUUAUGCCAAGUCUAUAGUUAUACGACUGGAUAUACCUAGGUGAAGUUGUGGGCCUCUAUAUGAAAAACCAGUAUUAUAUUACAUUCACUUUUAUGUCUUUUCAUCUGUAAAAUACAAUUAAGACUGUCUUAUAACUAUGUGAUAUCAAAUGGAUUAUUCAGAUUGGACUUUUAUUUCAUGUCCAAUGUUAUGUAUCUGGAUAUAUUUGGAUGUAGCUGUAGGCCUUUAUAGGAAUAUUCGAUUUAAAAAUAAGAAUAUUUUAAAGUAUUUUUAUCUGUUUAAUGUUAUAUAUUUGGUUAUACCCAAGUGUAGCUGUGGGCCUUUACAGGAAUAUUCCAUACAGUAAUACAGAUAAUUCUAUUUAUUUUUAUCUGCAAAUAACUAUCAAAAGGACAUCAGAGCUACAUAAGAAAUUAUACCUAGGUGUAGUUGUGGACCUCUAUAUGAAAAACCAGUAUUAUAUUACAAUCACUUUUAUGUAUUUUCAUUUGUAAAAUACAAUUAAUAAUGUCUUAUAACUAAAUGGUAUCAAAUGGAUUAUUCAGAUUGGACUUUUAUUUCAAGUCCAAUGUUAUGUAUCUGGAUGUACUCAGAUGUAGCUAUAGGCCUGUAUAGGAAUAUCCGAUAUAAAAAUAAGAGUAUUUUAAUGUAUUUUUAUCUGUUUAAUGUUACAUAUUUGGAUACAUCCAGGUGUAGCUGUGGGCCUCUACAAGAACAUUCCAUACAGUAAUACAGAUAAUUCUAUAUAUUUUUAUCUGCAAAUAACUAUUGAAAGGACUUCAGAGCUAUAUAAGAAAUGGAUAAAUUCUUUUUCUUUUAAGGCUAAUUUCUCUUGAAGGACAGAUUGGAUAGAAUUAUCGCCACUUUCCGUUUUUUUUUCACGGUUAUUUUUUAUCAUAUCCACAUCACUUUCUUCAGUUCCAGAAACUAGUUUCGAAACUGGAGGAAAUUUGAAACUGAAGAAAAAUUUCUCAAAACGAUUGACAGCCAGCGCGCCAGAGUAAUUUAUUCAGAUAUAGAACAUUAGUCUUGAAAUAAAAAUCCAAUCUGGAUAGUCCACUUAGUAUCACAUAUUUGUUAAACACUCUUGAUUGUAAUUUGCAAAUAAAAAUAUAUAAAAGGAAUCUUGAUGUAAGACUGGAUAUUUGUAUAGAGGCACAUAUAAUAGCUAAGCUUGGGUAUAUCCAUUUACAUAACAUUAGACCUGACAUAAAAAUCCAAUUUGUAUAGUCCAUUAUAUUUCAUAGAGGUUUGAGCCCACAGAUACACCUAUGGAUAUCCUCAUGAAUUUCAUGUGACGGGAUAAAAAUUAAAUAUGGAUAAUCAUCAAUAUUACAUAAUUCUGAGGCACUCUUAAACGUAAUUUAUAAAUAAAAACAUCAAAAUUAUUUCUAUUUUAAAACUGGAUUCUCCGAUAAAAACUAACUUCUACUGUAGAAUUUCACUAUGGAUAUUCUGCUUGAUUCUAUUAAAUUUUAAAGUAUUUUCCAAUAGUUACUUACAAAUAAAAAUCUUUAAAAUAACUUUUAGUAUGGAGCUGGAAAAUCCAAUAAAAAUUUUGUUUUUUGAUGUGUUUUUGUCGCUGCAAUUCCUAAGGUAUUCCAGUGGAUACAUUAUUUGAUUACGUUCGUAACUGCUCAUAAAAUAACAUAGACCAAAAUGUCGUGUUAUUGGUGUUGGCAGAUAAAUUAUUUAUUUCCAGUUUAUAUGGAAUUACUUAAAAAUUCUGAUAUUUUCAGAGUGGCUAUUACAUGUAGAAUACAUAAUUUUUUCCGAUUGAGGAAUUGUCAUUAAAAAUCAUUAAAAAAAUUUUCUGUUUCGCAUUCGGAAAUCCACAUAGGUUUUUAUGUCCAUAUAGACUUACGAAAAGAACAGAUACAAACCUAAGUGUAAGGUGCAGAUGAGAUCCAUAAAAAUACAAAUAACAUUAUAAUCCGAUUAAUUCCAAUAAAGAAACUCCGCUAUGAUGGACUUACAUAUAGAUUCCAAUAGGUUCCAAAUCUCAAUCUAUCUGGAAAUUUUUUACUCCAGAUAGAUUACAUAUAAGCCAUUACAGAUUCUAUUGUUCUGUAUAGGACUGUAUUGGAUGUUUUCAACAGGGAACUUAAUUGUUAUAAAAAUUCAAAAAAUUGA
Cotesia glomerata is the source of this 3370-nucleotide RNA transcript. It is a transcript of the gene named protein ALP1-like, with no coding region annotated. The record is from RefSeq and is a predicted model, not a curated record. NCBI's taxonomy places the organism in Eukaryota, Metazoa, Arthropoda, Insecta, Hymenoptera, Braconidae. The transcript is spliced from 7 exons.